GAUGAACGCUGGCGGCGUGCCUAAUACAUGCAAGUCGAGCGAACGGACGAGAAGCUUGCUUCUCUGAUGUUAGCGGCGGACGGGUGAGUAACACGUGGAUAACCUGCCUAUAAGACUGGGAUAACUUCGGGAAACCGGAGCUAAUACCGGAUAAUAUUUUGAACCGCAUGGUUCAAAAGUGAAAGACGGUCUUGCUGUCACUUAUAGAUGGAUCCGCGCUGCAUUAGCUAGUUGGUAAGGUAACGGCUUACCAAGGCAACGAUGCAUAGCCGACCUGAGAGGGUGAUCGGCCACACUGGAACUGAGACACGGUCCAGACUCCUACGGGAGGCAGCAGUAGGGAAUCUUCCGCAAAGGGCGAAAGCCUGACGGAGCAACGCCGCGUGAGUGAUGAAGGUCUUCGGAUCGUAAAACUCUGUUAUUAGGGAAGAACAUAUGUGUAAGUAACUGUGCACAUCUUGACGGUACCUAAUCAGAAAGCCACGGCUAACUACGUG
Molecule: ribosomal RNA, 497 nt
Filed under: uncultured bacterium
Lineage: Bacteria
Description: partial 16S ribosomal RNA
Rfam family: Bacterial small subunit ribosomal RNA
Source: RNAcentral